AUGAUGUGAUCACAUUUGGAAUUCUUUCUACAGUUCUAGUCACAACACCUGAAAAGGAUAUUGUAGAGCAGAAAACAUGCAGAAAAGAGGAUUCAAAAUGAUCAGUGGGCUGGAGUGAAUCCCCUUUCAGGAAAGGGAAUUCCAUGUUACACCUGGCCCUAUUCAGCAAGAAGAGACAACAAGCUUGGUGUGGAGGAAGUAUAUAUGGAGCUCCUGGGAGGUCCAAGGCAGGAAACGUGUCCCCAAGCUUCCUGAUGUGUCUCAUUCGUCCCCCACUGAGAACUCCCCGUAGGCAUUAAGAGUAGACUUUGGUAAGCACUAUUGCUGUCCAUCACCUUUCCACCUCUGGGAAAAUACAUGUAAGACCCCAUUUUCUUC
This is a long non-coding RNA of Pogona vitticeps (central bearded dragon), 378 nucleotides long. The record is from Ensembl. NCBI's taxonomy places the organism in Eukaryota, Metazoa, Chordata, Lepidosauria, Squamata, Agamidae.